UGCAAGUCGAGCGAAUGGAUUAAGAGCUUGCUCUUAUGAAGUUAGCGGCGGACGGGUGAGUAACACGUGGGUAACCUACCCAUAAGACUGGGAUAACUCCGGGAAACCGGGGCUAAUACCGGAUAAUAUUUUGAACUGCAUAGUUCGAAAUUGAAAGGCGGCUUCGGCUGUCACUUAUGGAUGGACCCGCGUCGCAUUAGCUAGUUGGUGAGGUAACGGCUCACCAAGGCGACGAUGCGUAGCCGACCUGAGAGGGUGAUCGGCCACACUGGGACUGAGACACGGCCCAGACUCCUACGGGAGGCAGCAGUAGGGAAUCUUCCGCAAUGGACGAAAGUCUGACGGAGCAACGCCGCGUGAGUGAUGAAGGCUUUCGGGUCGUAAAACUCUGUUGUUAGGGAAGAACAAGUGCUAGUUGAAUAAGCUGGCACCUUGACGGUACCUAACCAGAAAGCCACGGCUAACUACGUGCCAGCAGCCGCGGUAAUACGUAGGUGGCAAGCGUUAUCCGGAAUUAUUGGGCGUAAAGCGCGCGCAGGUGGUUUCUUAAGUCUGAUGUGAAAGCCCACGGCUCAACCGUGGAGGGUCAUUGGAAACUGGGAGACUUGAGUGCAGAAGAGGAAAGUGGAAUUCCAUGUGUAGCGGUGAAAUGCGUAGAGAUAUGGAGGAACACCAGUGGCGAAGGCGACUUUCUGGUCUGUAACUGACACUGAGGCGCGAAAGCGUGGGGAGCAAACAGGAUUAGAUACCCUGGUAGUCCACGCCGUAAACGAUGAGUGCUAAGUGUUAGAGGGUUUCCGCCCUUUAGUGCUGAAGUUAACGCAUUAAGCACUCCGCCUGGGGAGUACGGCCGCAAGGCUGAAACUCAAAGGAAUUGACGGGGGCCCGCACAAGCGGUGGAGCAUGUGGGUUUAAUUCGAAGCAACGCGAAGAACCUUACCAGGUCUUGACAUCCUCUGAAAACUCUAGAGAUAGAGCUUCUCCUUCGGGAGCAGAGUGACAAGUGGUGCAUGGGUUGUCGUCACCUCUUGUCCUGAGAAUGUU
This 1044-nucleotide ribosomal RNA is filed under the name Bacillus mycoides. Its description in RNAcentral is "bacterial SSU rRNA". It matches the Rfam family "Bacterial small subunit ribosomal RNA", at positions 56 to 1076 of the family's 1533-position model. Lineage: Bacteria; Bacillati; Bacillota; Bacilli; Caryophanales; Bacillaceae. The record is from RNAcentral.